AUACGUAGGUGGCAAGCGUUGUCCGGAAUUACUGGGUGUAAAGGGAGCGCAGGCGGGCGUGCAAGUCAGCUGUGAAAUCCAUGGGCUUAACCCGUGGGCUGCAGUUGAAACUGUAUGUCUUGAGUGAAGUAGAGGUAGGCGGAAUUCCGAGUGUAGCGGUAAAAUGCGUAGAUAUUCGGAGGAACACCGGUGGCGAAGGCGGCCUACUGGGCUUUAACUGACGCUGAGGCUCGAAAGUGUGGGGAGCAAACAGGAUUAGAUACCCUGGUAGUCCACACUGUAAACGAUGAUUGCUAGGUGUGGGGGGUCUGACCCCUUCCGUGCCGCAGUUAACGCAAUAAGCAAUCCACCUGGGGAGUACGGCCGCAAGGCUAAA
This 376-nucleotide ribosomal RNA is filed under the name uncultured bacterium. RNAcentral's name for it is "bacterial SSU rRNA". It matches the Rfam family "Bacterial small subunit ribosomal RNA", at positions 523 to 898 of the family's 1533-position model. The record is from RNAcentral.